CCUACGGGGGGCAGCAGUCGAGAAUUAUUCACAAUGGGGGAAACCCUGAUGGUGCGACGCCGCGUGGGGGAAUGAAGGUCUUCGGAUUGUAAACCCCUGUCAUGUGGGAGCAAAUUAAAAAGAUAGUACCACAAGAGGAAGAGACGGCUAACUCUGUGCCAGCAGCCGCGGUAAUACAGAGGUCUCAAGCGUUGUUCGGAAUCACUGGGCGUAAAGGGUGCGUAGGCUGUUUCGUAAGUCGUGUGUGAAAGGCGCGGGCUCAACCCGCGGACGGCACAUGAUACUGCGAGACUAGAGUAAUGGAGGGGGAACCGGAAUUCUCGGUGUAGCAGUGAAAUGCGUAGAUAUCGAGAGGAACACUCGUGGCGAAGGCGGGUUCCUGGACAUUAACUGACGCUGAGGCACGAAGGCCAGGGGAGCGAAAGGGAUUAGAUACCCCGGUAGUC
This 446-nucleotide ribosomal RNA is filed under the name uncultured bacterium. RNAcentral's name for it is "partial 16S ribosomal RNA". It matches the Rfam family "Bacterial small subunit ribosomal RNA", at positions 338 to 795 of the family's 1533-position model. The record is from RNAcentral.